RNAcentral lists this ribosomal RNA (403 nucleotides) under uncultured bacterium. Its description in RNAcentral is "partial 16S ribosomal RNA". It matches the Rfam family "Bacterial small subunit ribosomal RNA", at positions 28 to 526 of the family's 1533-position model. The record is from RNAcentral.
GACGAACGCUGGCGGCGUGCCUAAUACAUGCAAGUCGAACGGAGGGGGGAUGGGUGAGUAACACGUGGGUAACCUCCCAUCAGAGGGGAUAACACUUGGAAACAGGUGCUAAACCGAUACUGAUGGAUGGAGACGCGGGGCAUUAGCUAGUUGGGGAGGUAACGGCUCACCAAGGCCACGAUGCAUAGCUGGCCUUAGAGGGUGAUCGGCCACACUGGGACUGAGACACGGCCCAGACUCCUACGGGAGGCAGCAGUGGGGAAUCUUCGGCAAUGGACGAAAGCCUGACCGAGCAACGCCGCGUGAGUGAAGAAGGUUUUCGGAUCGUAAAACUCUGUUGUUAGAGAAGCGGUAUCUAACCAGAAAGCCACGGCUAACUACGUGCCAGCAGCCGCGGUAAUAC